Microcebus murinus (gray mouse lemur) is the source of this 480-nucleotide non-coding RNA. The record is from RefSeq and is a predicted model, not a curated record. Lineage: Eukaryota; Metazoa; Chordata; Mammalia; Primates; Cheirogaleidae.
UUCUGGUGCCAUGGCUUGGUGCUGAGCUCCUAGUGCUAACGGCCCUCACCACACCCUUCCCAGACCUCGGCGGCUGUGGAAGGAGGAAGAAGUAUUUGUAUUUUCAACCCUUAGUUGCCUUUCAGAGGUUCUCACUGAAGUUCCUUUAGUACCUGUGGAAGAGAAUCGGUACUCUGCCCACGAAGUUUGACAACUGUUUCUGAAGAGCUCGAGGUGGAAGAACCGAUUUCCUUCACAAUCAACCCUGAAACAAAACACAGAGGGAAAAAAAACAAUGAAUUCUUCAAAUAAUUCACACUUCUUGCUACAUAUUCUGACAUAUACUGUUACCAGGAAUGAAAUUCUCUCUUGUUUAUGGUAAACAGCGGGUAGUGAGGAAAUGUGGGUUAGAGCGCAGAAAGGAGUUUAGAGUCUGAGUUUUCUAAAAUAAAAUCCUGAUUAUGCUGCUUAUGAAGUUAGAAAUAAAAAACAAAGACUGUA